UAAAGGAUUCCGGUAAAGGAUGGGGAUGCGUUCCAUUAGGUUGUUGGUGAGGUAACGGCUCACCAAGCCUUCGAUGGAUAGGGGUUCUGAGAGGAAGGUCCCCCACAUUGGAACUGAGACACGGUCCAAACUCCUACGGGAGGCAGCAGUGAGGAAUAUUGGUCAAUGGGCGCUAGCCUGAACCAGCCAAGUAGCGUGAAGGAUGAAGGCUCUAUGGGUCGUAAACUUCUUUUAUAUAAGAAUAAAGUGCAGUAUGUAUACUGUUUUGUAUGUAUUAUAUGAAUAAGGAUCGGCUAACUCCGUGCCAGCAGCCGCGGUAAUACGGAGGAUCCGAGCGUUAUCCGGAUUUAUUGGGUUUAAAGGGAGCGUAGGUGGACUGGUAAGUCAGUUGUGAAAGUUUGCGGCUCAACCGUAAAAUUGCAGUUGAUACUGUCAGUCUUGAGUACAGUAGAGGUGGGCGGAAUUCGUGGUGUAGCGGUGAAAUGCUUAGAUAUCACGAAGAACUCCGAUUGCGAAGGCAGCUCACUGGACUGCAACUGACACUGAUGCUCGAAAGUGUGGGUAUCAAACAGGAUUAGAUACCCUGGUAGUCCACACAGUAAACGAUGAAUACUCGCUGUUUGCGAUAUACAGUAAGCGGC
RNAcentral lists this ribosomal RNA (641 nucleotides) under uncultured bacterium. Its description in RNAcentral is "bacterial SSU rRNA". It matches the Rfam family "Bacterial small subunit ribosomal RNA", at positions 202 to 847 of the family's 1533-position model. The record is from RNAcentral.